Molecule: ribosomal RNA, 253 nt
Filed under: uncultured bacterium
Lineage: Bacteria
Description: partial 16S ribosomal RNA
Rfam family: Bacterial small subunit ribosomal RNA
Source: RNAcentral
UACGCAGGACCCGAGCGUUAUCCGGAUUUAUUGGGUUUAAAGGGUGCGUAGGCGGACUUACAAGUCAGUGGUGAAAUCUCCCCGCUCAACGGGGAAACUGCCAUUGAAACUAUUUGUCUUGAGUACAUUUGAGGCGGGCGGAAUGUGUCAUGUAGAGGUGAAAUUCUUAGAUAUGACACAGAACACCAAUUGCGAAGGCAGCUCGCUAAACUGUAACUGACGCUGAGGCACGAAAGCGUGGGUAGCAAACAGG